This is a non-coding RNA of Acanthosepion pharaonis, 114 nucleotides long. The record is from the annotation of a GenBank genome assembly. Lineage: Eukaryota; Metazoa; Mollusca; Cephalopoda; Sepiida; Sepiidae.
UUACGGCCACAACACGUUGAAACACCGGUUUCUGUAUUAUCUUUGAAGUUAAGCAGCAUCAAGCCUGGUCAGUACCUAGAUAGGUGACCGCUUGGGAUUACCAGGUGCUGUAAG